GAUGAACGCUGGCGGCGCGCCUAACACAUGCAAGUCGAACGAUUAAAGCACCUUCGGGUGUGUAUAAAGUGGCGAACGGCUGAGUAACACGUGGGCAACCUGCCCCUUUCAUUGGGAUAGCCACGGGAAACCGUGGAUAAUACCGAAUACUUCGAGACUUCCGCAUGGAAGACUCGAGAAAGCUCCGGCGGAGAGGGAUGGGCCCGCGGCCUGUUAGCUUGUUGGUGGGGUAACGGCCUACCAAGGCAAUGAUGGGUAGCUGGGUUGAGAGACCGACCAGCCAGAUUGGGACUGAGACACGGCCCAGACUCCUACGGGAGGCAGCAGUGGGGAAUCUUGCACAAUGGGCGAAAGCCUGAUGCAGCGACGCCGCGUGCGGGAUGAAGGCCUUCAGGUUGUAAACCGCUUUCAGCAGGGACGAGGCGAAAGUGACGGUACCUGCAGAAGAAGCCCCGGCUAACUACGUG
This 467-nucleotide ribosomal RNA is filed under the name uncultured bacterium. RNAcentral's name for it is "partial 16S ribosomal RNA". It matches the Rfam family "Bacterial small subunit ribosomal RNA", at positions 28 to 507 of the family's 1533-position model. The record is from RNAcentral.